AGAGAGAGAGAGAGAGAGAGGAAAACGUAUCUGACGGCAGAGGGCCACCGUCCAGCCACGGGACUCAUCAGUCGUUGUUCCUUUUGCAGUUGUUUAGACUUGCGAGAUGGGUGAAAGCGAUAGACGAAGACUUUGCCAUAAGGAGUGCAAGUUUAAAGUUUAUCUUCUUAAAUUUGCUCUUCCCACUGACAUACCUUUAUUCUCUCGUUAUCGUCUUCUCUCUCUGUUAUUGAAUCGUUCUCCUCGCGGUUUGCUCCGUUUGAAGUUGAGCUUCCAGAUCUAAUUGAUGCUACUAUGGUCUGGCGUUCAAGAAUAUAGUUAUCACUGGGUUUUUAAAGGCCUAAUCAGAUUGCGAUGAACCUGUCCUGCCUCGGUGCAUUAAAAUUGAAAUUGAAAUCUCGUAAAGGGAAAAAUGUAGACUCUUCAACGCAGACAGAAGG
This is a long non-coding RNA of Macadamia integrifolia, 440 nucleotides long. RefSeq lists it as uncharacterized. The record is from RefSeq and is a predicted model, not a curated record. The transcript is spliced from 3 exons. NCBI's taxonomy places the organism in Eukaryota, Viridiplantae, Streptophyta, Magnoliopsida, Proteales, Proteaceae.